CCGAUACUAUGAUGAUAACAUAGUUCAGCAGACUUAUCUCUGAUGAACAAAUCAUGUCUUUCGCUCCUAUCUGAUGUAUCUG
Small nucleolar RNA from Apodemus sylvaticus (European woodmouse), 82 nucleotides. RefSeq annotates it as small nucleolar RNA snR60/Z15/Z230/Z193/J17. The transcript has a single exon. Lineage: Eukaryota; Metazoa; Chordata; Mammalia; Rodentia; Muridae. The record is from RefSeq and is a predicted model, not a curated record.